Long non-coding RNA from Taeniopygia guttata (zebra finch), 3178 nucleotides. The record is from Ensembl. NCBI's taxonomy places the organism in Eukaryota, Metazoa, Chordata, Aves, Passeriformes, Estrildidae.
AGGUCAUGUGUUUCUUGUACUGAAGACCCCAGAGCUGGAUGCAACACUCCAGGUAGGGUCACCAGAGUUGGAUAGAGGGGCAGAAUCAGCUCCCUUGAUCUGCUGCCCAUACUGCUUUUGUUGCAGCCCAGGAUGCAGUUGCCUUUCCGCUUCAUGCUUAUGUUGCCAGCUCAUGUACUAUUUUUCAAUCAACCAGCAGCCCCAAACAUUUUGCAGGGCUGCUCUCAGACAGGUCAUCACCCAGUGUGUACAGACAUUGGGAAUUGUUGCAACCCAUUUGCAGGACCUUGCACUUGGUCUUGUGGAACCUCAUGAUGUUUGCGUGGGUCCAUGUCUCUAUGUUGUAAAAGUCACCCUUCUCUUCCCUCAAGCAUAUCAACUGCACCACUCAGAUUGAUAGAAUCUGAAAACUGGCUGAGGAUGCACCCAAUCCCCCAUCUGUCAUUAAUAAAGACCUAUUGUAUUUAUUAAUAAAGAUUUAUUAUAGGAUCUUGGUGAAUGCAAUUCUGGAGAUAUAAUCAUGUAUCAAGUUUCUGUGGAAAACCAUGUCAGCUUCCAUACUGUCUGUAAUCAUAAUCCUAUGAUAUCCAUGACAUUUUACGGACCUAUUCUGGGCACAGAAAACUUAGGCAGCUGGACUCCAAGGACAGUAGCCUUCCUGGGAUACUGCUCAUUCCCUGUCUUACACCAGAGGUGACAUGUCACAGCACAGUGGGAGAGAGCAGAAGGAAGGGUGGGAUCUGCACAGUGAUCUGCAGAUCACAUCUACCGGGUUUGCCUACAACUCUUUUGGUGAGCCUUAGAAGGCAGAAGGAGACCAGAAAUAGAAGCAUCAAUCAACAACCACUUUAAUGCCUACUUUUUCAUGACAGGCUUGGUUCCAGUCCUUUCCUUCAAACUUCCCUACCAUUCAAUUUUGCCUACACUGCUGAAAAAAUUUGGUACUGCCAGAGGAUGAAGAAGGUAGGAUCUUAUUGGGAAUUUUAAAAGCAGGGAGAAUGGUUGCCACCUGCUGUUCAUGGUAACUGAAGCAUCCUGAAAAUGUCACUGGAGUCCUGUUACUGGGCUGCAUAGUAAGUGAUAGUCGCCUCUCAAAAAGGAUGAAAAAAAUAUGCCAACAUAUAUUGCCUGGGCUAUCUGUCUAGGUAUUUGCAGAGCAUCUGUGGAGAGUAAUUGUACAUCAGAGCAGACAAAUAAUGCAGGAUUUUUAAUACCUAUUUUGGCAGCAAGUUUGAAACUAAAAGUCUAUUGUUGAAGGAGACAGAAAAAAUUUGAAAAAGGCAGGAAGCAGCCAAAAGAAAUCUAAGGAAACUAUAAUAAAAGCUACUGGGGUAUUUUUUCUCCACACAGUUAUCUGCCAAAAAUUUAUUAGGCUCUUCAUUUAUUGCUCAGGAAUACUCAACACAACUCAUUAGGCUGUAGUCCUAGGUUUACUUUCUCUAGCCAGAAAAAAACAAAAAACAAAACAGCAAAUCAUGAGAGGUGCACUAAUUUUAUUGGUUCCUUUCAAUUGAUCAUGCACUUCUUUUUGGUGAAAGUAUUUUCAAGACAUAGUUUGUCUUGACAUAUAUCAUCUGCUGUGAAUAGAGGUGCUUUAAUCUGGAAAGGAGUGCACAAGUCAUUAGACUUGUAGUGUUAACAGUUACAGGAUAAAUUCUGCCAUUAUAGGCUCUAUUGUCUCAUUUACCGACUCUAUUGACCUGUAUUUCCCAGUCUCCACCAAAUGCUCUGUGAAGGUUCUGACCACAAGUACUACCUAUAGCAAAUUACCUCAUUCUCUUCAUCUCUCCACAAGAACAGUCUAUCAGGAAGUUCAUUUUCUCCAGGAAACCUCUGAAAUGUCACUCAGUCCCUCCCUUGUAACCUUCCUCUCCCUCCUUCCCCUUUUGAAGGAGACUUAACCAGCCUAUGAAGAAGGCUUUCCUUUGUGAUUUAACAUAGCUAUUACUUUUAGCAGAAUUUUUUAAAUAUUAGCAUUUAAGUUUUAACCAUUAAGCACCAGAAUUUGAAGGCUUAGGAUUGAUGCUUACCCAAUUUAAGGUAACUUAAACAAUUUUACAUUUCAGAAAGUGUUGACAUUCCAUCUUAGGUCAAGGCAACUCCUCUUCCCCAGUGACACGUAGUGACAAUUACUCUCUCCCUAUCACUUGGACUCACCAACCAGCUGCAGUACUAAAUAUGGUGAAACAAAUGCAUGGUUACAAAGUAAAUGUAUUUUUUACUCAGAGCUUAGCCAAUGGGUGUUAGUUGGGCACAGCUUGACAGCGACUGAGGAUAUACUGUCAGCUUAUACCGCCCUCACAGUAAUUGACUGAUCUAACCAAAUUUGACAAAAAGGGCCAAUCAAUGAAGUUUCUGUACAUUGUGCAGUUUCUGUGCACACAGACCAGUACUUGAGACUAAAGUGACAGCCUGGCCACACAAUCAACCACAGCCCAUGGUAAACUAUUGGAAGGUAAAAUUGUAUUGAUGAGAUUAGAGUCUUAUAACUAAAGGAAUCUUAUCACUACAUGUCACAUACCAUGAAUUUGGGAAAAAAAUUCUACCAAUUUUACAAAGUUGCAUGGGCCACUUAUAUUUUACCCAGAGCAGAGACAUAUAAAAAUUACAUAUGUUCAAUACUUAGCAGAAGUUGCAAAGUUCUCACACCUAGGCAGAUGUGAAUACUUAGAUGUGAGUGGGCUGGUGCAUUAUAUGAGCAGCCGUGGAUAAGUUAGCUUUAAAUCAACUAUGCUAAAUGAAGGAAUCAAAAGAGUUUUAAAAUCCACUUUCCAUACCGGCAUCUGAUGACACAGUAAAAUUCUAGGUGCUAUUCUAGUGGUAGUUGUGCAUUUCCACUGUGAUUCAUCUAACUGAUUGACUUUUGCUGUUGCAAAGUCAAGGAGGGUAAGAUCAAAUUCCUGCCUCUUAGGAAAAAGGACACUCCACAUUUUGCUGCAAAUAUUGGAAAGUAUAAAAAAAGUGUCUUCAGUAAAAAAAAGAAAAUAAAGAAGACUGUGUCUCUGAAAGCUGUUACAAAUUUUUGUGAGUGUAAACUAAUUUUAAUUUACACUCAUAAAUUUUUGCAUCUGAAAAGAAAGUGGAAGUUUACAUUUACAAAGAAAAGAACACAGUUGUUUCAAUCAUGAGUUGUAAAUAACAAGUAAUAUAGUUAUAAAUGCAAAAAAAAAAAGAAAAA